RNAcentral lists this ribosomal RNA (468 nucleotides) under uncultured bacterium. Its description in RNAcentral is "partial 16S ribosomal RNA". It matches the Rfam family "Bacterial small subunit ribosomal RNA", at positions 28 to 507 of the family's 1533-position model. The record is from RNAcentral.
GACGAACGCUGGCGGCGUGCUUAACACAUGCAAGUCGAACGGAAAGGCCCUGCUUUUGUGGGGUGCUCGAGUGGCGAACGGGUGAGUAACACGUGAGUAACCUGCCCUUGACUUUGGGAUAACUUCAGGAAACUGGGGCUAAUACCGGAUAGGAGCUCCUGCUGCAUGGUGGAGGUUGGAAAGUUUCGGCGGUUGGGGAUGGACUCGCGGCUUAUCAGCUUGUUGGUGGGGUAGUGGCUUACCAAGGCUUUGACGGGUAGCCGGCCUGAGAGGGUGACCGGCCACAUUGGGACUGAGAGACGGCCCAGACGCCUACGGGAGGCAGCAGUGGGGAAUAUUGCACAAUGGGCGGAAGCCUGAGGCAGCAACGCCGCGUGCGGGAUGACGGCCUUCGGGUUGUAAACCGCUUUCGCCUGUGACGAAGCGUGAGUGACGGUAAUGGGUAAAGAAGCACCGGCUAACUACGUG